RNAcentral lists this transfer RNA (73 nucleotides) under Clostridia bacterium. RNAcentral's name for it is "tRNA-Thr". It matches the Rfam family "tRNA". From Rfam's summary of the family: Transfer RNA (tRNA) molecules are approximately 80 nucleotides in length. The record is from RNAcentral. Lineage: Bacteria; Bacillati; Bacillota; Clostridia.
GCUCCCGUAGCUCAGUUGGCAGAGCACUGGCCUUGUAAUCCAGAGGUCGUCAGUUCGAUCCUGACCGGGAGCU